This 250-nucleotide ribosomal RNA is filed under the name uncultured bacterium. Its description in RNAcentral is "partial 16S ribosomal RNA". It matches the Rfam family "Bacterial small subunit ribosomal RNA", at positions 524 to 773 of the family's 1533-position model. The record is from RNAcentral.
UACAGAGGUCCCGAGCGUUGUUCGGAUUCACUGGGCGUAAAGGGUGCGCAGGUGGUGGGGUAAGUCGGAUGUGAAAUCUCGGAGCUCAACUCCGAAAUGGCAUUGGAAACUGCUCUGCUAGAGGGUCGGAGGGGGGACUGGAAUACUUGGUGUAGCAGUGAAAUGCGUAGGUAUCAAGUGGAACACCAGUGGCGAAGGCGAGUCCCUGGACGACUCCUGACACUGAGGCACGAAAGCUAGGGGAGCAAAC